GACGAACGCUGGCGGCGUGCCUAAUACAUGCAAGUAGAACGCUGAAGGAGGAGCUUGCUCUUCUGGAUGAGUUGCGAACGGGUGAGUAACGCGUAGGUAACUUGCCUGGUAGCGGGGGAUAACUAUUGGAAACGAUAGCUAAUACCGCAUAAGAGUAGAUGUUGCAUGACAUUUACUUAAAAGGUGCAAUUGCAUCACUACCAGAUGGACCUGCGUUGUAUUAGCUAGUUGGUGGGGUAACGGCUUACCAAGGCGACGAUACAUAGCCGACCUGAGAGGGGGAUCGGCCACACUGGGACUGAGACACGGCCCAGACUCCUGCGGGAGGCAGCAGUAGGGAAUCGUCGGCAAUGGACGGAAGUCUGACCGAGCAACGCCGCGUGAGUGAAGAAGGUUUUCGGAUCGUAAAGCUCUGUUGUAAGAGAAGAGCGAGUGUGAGAGUGGAAAGUUCACACUGUGACGGUAUCUUACCAGAAAGGGACGGCUAACUACGUG
This 495-nucleotide ribosomal RNA is filed under the name uncultured bacterium. RNAcentral's name for it is "partial 16S ribosomal RNA". It matches the Rfam family "Bacterial small subunit ribosomal RNA", at positions 28 to 507 of the family's 1533-position model. The record is from RNAcentral.